This is a ribosomal RNA of Colobus angolensis palliatus, 119 nucleotides long. NCBI's taxonomy places the organism in Eukaryota, Metazoa, Chordata, Mammalia, Primates, Cercopithecidae. The record is from Ensembl.
GUCUGUGGCCCUACCACCCUGAACAUGGCUGGUCCUCUCUAAUCUUGGAAGCUAAGCAAAGUUAGGCCUGGUUAAUACUUGAAUGGGAGACUGCCUGGGAAUACCAGAUGCUGUUGCCU